This 492-nucleotide ribosomal RNA is filed under the name uncultured bacterium. RNAcentral describes it as "partial 16S ribosomal RNA". It matches the Rfam family "Bacterial small subunit ribosomal RNA", at positions 29 to 507 of the family's 1533-position model. The record is from RNAcentral.
AGUGAACGCUGGCGGUAGGCCUAACACAUGCAAGUCGAACGGCAGCACAGUAAGAGCUUGCUCUUACGGGUGGCGAGUGGCGGACGGGUGAGGAAUACAUCGGAGUCUACUUUUUCGUGGGUGAUAACGGAGGGAAACUUACGCUAAUACCGCAUACGACCUACGGGUGAAAGCAGGGGAUCUUCGGACCUUGCGCGAUUGAAUGAGCCGAUGUCGGAUUAGCUAGUUGGCGGGGUAAAGGCCCACCAAGGCGACGAUCCGUAGCUGGUCUGAGAGGAUGAUCAGCCACACUGGAACUGAGACACGGUCCAGACUCCUACGGGAGGCAGCAGUGGGGAAUAUUGGACAAUGGGCGCAAGCCUGAUCCAGCCAUACCGCGUGGGUGAAGAAGGCCUUCGGGUUGUAAAGCCCUUUUGUUGGGAAAGAAAAGCAGCAGGUUAAUACCCCGCUGUUCUGACGGUACCCAAAGAAUAAGCACCGGCUAACUUCGUG